RNAcentral lists this ribosomal RNA (460 nucleotides) under uncultured bacterium. Its description in RNAcentral is "partial 16S ribosomal RNA". It matches the Rfam family "Bacterial small subunit ribosomal RNA", at positions 338 to 795 of the family's 1533-position model. The record is from RNAcentral.
CCUACGGGUGGCAGCAGUGAGGAAUAUUGGUCAAUGGGCGCGAGCCUGAACCAGCCAAGUAGCGUGAAGGAUGACUGCCCUACGGGUUGUAAACUUCUUUUAUAAAGGAAUAAAGUGAGGCACGUGUGCCUUUUUGUAUGUACUUUAUGAAUAAGGAUCGGCUAACUCCGUGCCAGCAGCCGCGGUAAUACGGAGGAUCCGAGCGUUAUCCGGAUUUAUUGGGUUUAAAGGGAGCGUGGAUGGGUUUGUAAGUCAGUUGUGAAAGUUUGCGGCUCAACCGUAAAAUUGCCAUUGAUACUGGCAGUCUUGAGGACAGUUGAGGUAGGCGGAAUUCGUGGUGUAGCGGUGAAAUGCUUAGAUAUCACGAAGAACUCCGAUUGCGAAGGCAGCCUACUAAGCUGCCACUGACAUUGAUGCUCGAAAGUGUGGGUAUCAAACAGGAUUAGAUACCCGAGUAGUC